CCCGCUGAACUUAAGCAUAUCAAUAAGCGGAGGAAAAGAAACUAACAAGGAUUCCCCUAGUAACGGCGAGUGAAGAGGGAAGAGCUCAAAUUUUGAAUCUGGCAUCUUUGGUGUCUGAGUUGUAAUCUAUAGAAGUGCUUUCUGUGCCAGUCCGUGCACAUAGUCUCCGGGAAUGGACCGUCAUAGAGGGUGAGAAUCCCGUAUAUGGCACGGACUCCCGUUGCGUCUGUGGAACACUCUCAGCGAGUCGAGUUGUUUGGGAACGCAGCUCCAAAUGGGUGGUAAAUGCCAUCUCAACCUAAAUAUUGUCGAGAGUCCGAUAGCGAACAAGUUCCGUGACGGAAAGAUGAAAAGCACUUUGGAAAGAGAGUGAAGCAGUACGUGUAAAUUGUUGAAAGAGAAACACUUGAAGUCAGUCAUACCCUAUGGGAUUCGUCCUUGCUUCUGCUUGGUUUACUUCCUGUUGGGUGGGUCAACAUCAGUUUCUGUCAGCGGAAACAGGCCAGCAGAAGGUGGCAUCACCACUCUAUGUCACAGCCACGGUAUCUACCUUCGGGCCGACCUAUAGCCCAGCAUCUAACCUGGUCGACUGGGAUCUAACACCGCUACACGCUUAGGAUGUUGGCAUAAUGGCUGCAAGCGACCCGUCUUGAAACACGG
This 660-nucleotide ribosomal RNA is filed under the name uncultured fungus. RNAcentral describes it as "eukaryotic LSU rRNA". It matches the Rfam family "Eukaryotic large subunit ribosomal RNA", at positions 24 to 664 of the family's 3401-position model. The record is from RNAcentral. Lineage: Eukaryota; Fungi.